AGUCGAACGAACUCUUCGGAGUUAGUGGCGCACGGGUGCGUAACGCGUGGGAAUCUGCCCUUGGGUACGGAAUAACUCAGAGAAAUUUGUGCUAAUACCGUAUAAUGUCUUCGGACCAAAGAUUUAUCGCCCAAGGAUGAGCCCGCGUAAGAUUAGCUAGUUGGUGGGGUAAAAGCCUACCAAGGCGACGAUCUUUAGCUGGUCUGAGAGGAUGAUCAGCCACACUGGGACUGAGACACGGCCCAGACUCCUACGGGAGGCAGCAGUGGGGAAUAUUGGACAAUGGGCGAAAGCCUGAUCCAGCAAUGCCGCGUGAGUGAUGAAGGCCUUAGGGUUGUAAAGCUCUUUUACCCGGGAUGAUAAUGACAGUACCGGGAGAAUAAGCUCCGGCUAACUCCGUGCCAGCAGCCGCGGUAAUACGGAGGGAGCUAGCGUUGUUCGGAAUUACUGGGCGUAAAGCGCGCGUAGGCGGUUUUUUAAGUCAGAGGUGAAAGCCCAGUGCUCAACACUGGAACUGCCUUUGAAACUGGAAAACUUGAAUCUUGGAGAGGUCAGUGGAAUUCCGAGUGUAGAGGUGAAAUUCGUAGAUAUUCGGAAGAACACCAGUGGCGAAGGCGACUGACUGGACAAGUAUUGACGCUGAGGUGCGAAAGCGUGGGGAGCAAGCAGGAUUAGAUACCCUGGUAGUCCACGCCGUAAACGAUGAUAACUAGCUGUCCGGGUUCAUAGAACUUGGGUGGCGCAGCUAACGCAUUAAG
Molecule: ribosomal RNA, 758 nt
Filed under: uncultured bacterium
Lineage: Bacteria
Description: bacterial SSU rRNA
Rfam family: Bacterial small subunit ribosomal RNA
Source: RNAcentral